RNAcentral lists this ribosomal RNA (501 nucleotides) under Triticum aestivum (bread wheat). RNAcentral's name for it is "partial small subunit ribosomal RNA". The record is from RNAcentral. Lineage: Eukaryota; Viridiplantae; Streptophyta; Magnoliopsida; Poales; Poaceae.
AUGACAUCGACGACCGGGACAUGUGCCCAAGCUGACAAGGACAUCGUCGAGUCCGACAACAAUCUCUACUAUGAGCUCGUCCACCACGACUCCCCACAGAAGAGGCAAGCGAUGUGCUUCAGUACAUGGUGUGAUGACUUGUGCUCCCAUGGCUGCCUCCUAGGCUACAACAACAUUAGCAAGGUUGUUGACAGGAUGGUGGGCAAGGGUCCAGAGCGCCCCGAGCCUCCUGCGAGCGCUACUGGGAGGGGUGGUUCCAUUAUUCCAGCCCAGCCCCUCCAAAAAGCGCUGCUAGACAGUAUGCAGACAGCUGCGGCGGGCGCUUCUUCUUCGGCUGGGAGAGGUCAGGGGAGGAUGAAGAAGGCUGCUAGAGGUGGACGUGGCAGCGGGAGAGGUAGGAAGGCUGCUACGCCUUCCUCGCCGCCACCCUUAGCUGAUUCACCCGACCACGUGGACCCGUCUCGGACUCCGGUCCAUGAGCCUUCGGUCACCGAUCCUUAG